AAACUAGCUCAUGAUAUUUUAACUUUUGUAAGUUUAAGCAAUGUUUUGUAAACUUAAGCAUGUUCAAGUGAUAUUAUUUAUAUGUGAACAUCAGUACAAUCUGAUUAACAUACAAAUCCUUUGUUUAUGCUUUACCUUCAAAAAUAUGAAAGCGCUCAGUUCCAUGUUCUGUUUGAAGACCUUUCGAGACCCUCUGGUAUUGUUGUAUCGAUACACACCUUCCAAAAUUGGAAAGCUAAAAUUUCAUUGGUCAAUGUAAUGAUUUUAAGAUCAGAAAGUAUAACAGUGUGUGGUCAGACAAGUUAGCAAAACAUGGACACAGGAUGUGUAUUUUAAUCAAAUGGACAUAAUAUCAAAUUGUAAAAUAAUGGUACUAGUGCAUGAAAGAGAUACUGUUUAUGUCUGUUGUAAAUGUAAUACAAUUGAUGCCAAAUAUUUUUUUUCUUUAAAUAAAUGGUUUUUAAGAAUUAUUGAUGAUCUUGUGUGUAUGACUGCAUUGUAUAAUUGAUAAUCAAAGAUAAGCUAUUGAGAAAGACAGAUCUGUCUGUUAUUACGGUGCUCAUGUUCAUAUUAAGAAAAUGUAACGUGUUCAGAUUAAAUGUAUUGAUUGUAAUCAUGUAUUUUCUUUUCUUAUUAAUCAUAUAUAUUAAUAUUUGUUUUAUGAUCCUGCCAUAAUUUUGGUGGAUACAAUAUUAAUAUAAGCAUAUUAGUAUUUAUUAAUGUAAUGCUAUAGUUCUGUAAUGUAGGACUUUUACAAUUUUUUGUAUUAUAUGAUUGAACAAAUGAUAGUA
RNAcentral lists this long non-coding RNA (791 nucleotides) under Mytilus galloprovincialis (Mediterranean mussel). The record is from RNAcentral. Lineage: Eukaryota; Metazoa; Mollusca; Bivalvia; Mytilida; Mytilidae.